This is a long non-coding RNA of Amblyraja radiata (thorny skate), 240 nucleotides long. RefSeq lists it as uncharacterized. The transcript has 2 exons. The record is from RefSeq and is a predicted model, not a curated record. Lineage: Eukaryota; Metazoa; Chordata; Chondrichthyes; Rajiformes; Rajidae.
GCAUUGCGCCGCGACUGGCUGGUACGCGCGUCGCUCCUCUAGCGAUGACCAUUGCUAUGACCAGCUUAGUGGACAAUGUCGGGCGACGUGCCCUACCGGAGAGUACACCGUCGGCGAUUGCGCCAGUGGAAGAGAAUGCUGCAAAGAAAAGGAACAUAUCAGACAUGGCUGACCUGGCCAGGGAAAUUCCUCGUAUGUUGUAAAACUUACUUGGCGAAUAAAAUCUGAUUCUGAUUCUGA